AAGCUCGUAGUUGAAUUUCGGGGUUCUACCAUUGGUCGGGCAAUAGUCUGUACUGGUGUGUAGAAUUUCUACCUUCUGGGGAACUAUCAUGUUAUUUAUUUAGCGUGGUAGGAAACCAGGACCUUUACCUUGAAAAAAUUAGAGUGUUCAAAGCAGGCUUACGUCUGAAUACAUUAGCAUGGAAUAAUAAAAUAGGACGGUGGUCCUGUUUUGUUGGUUUCUGAAUCACCGUAAUGAUUAAUAGGGAUAGUUGGG
RNAcentral lists this ribosomal RNA (255 nucleotides) under uncultured Gigaspora. Its description in RNAcentral is "partial 18S ribosomal RNA". It matches the Rfam family "Eukaryotic small subunit ribosomal RNA", at positions 624 to 886 of the family's 1831-position model. Lineage: Eukaryota; Fungi; Glomeromycota; Glomeromycetes; Diversisporales; Gigasporaceae. The record is from RNAcentral.